This is a long non-coding RNA of Oncorhynchus tshawytscha (Chinook salmon), 2548 nucleotides long. The record is from Ensembl. Lineage: Eukaryota; Metazoa; Chordata; Actinopteri; Salmoniformes; Salmonidae.
GGGGUGUUUUCUCCAAAAUGUUAAGUUCAUAUAAGAAAAAGGAUACAUAUAAUCAAGUUCAUCUUUGAUAAAUAGUAUUUAUCACAUUAUUGUUAUACACAAAGCAAGCACAGUAGUCCCACAUCUGUAAAAAAAAAACAUUUUAAUUUCGCAGUAUUUCCUGUUUGCUAUGCAAACAACCAUUAACCUUUUUGCCCUAGAGGAGAAGCAAGCUUAUUGGUCCCAGGUAAGGUACCCAUGCUCCUCUCCUCUGGGAAUAGACCAUUCCCUUCCAUUGCAGCCUAGCUGGAGCGAACCAUCUGCGUCAGGGGAACCAUUUCAAAUCAUUUCCAUUUCCAGUGGAUGGGUGAACUGCACCUCAGAGCAUUCUUGUAGACAGGCCAGCAGUACUGAGCUCUCGAGUGGCGCAGCAGUCUAAGGCACUACAUCUCAGUGCAAGAGGCGUCACUACAGUCUGGUUCGAAUCCAGAAUGCAUCACAUAUGGUUGUGAUUGCGAGUCCCCAUAGGACGGCGCACAAUUGGCCCAGCGUCGUCCGGGUUUGGCCGGUGUAGGCCGUCAUUGUAAAAAAUAAUUUGUCCUUAAAAUGACUUUCCUAGUUCAAUAAAGGUUCAAUAAAAAUACUGUGUGUAGUACUUGUGUAAGCCUGACAGUGGACUCCUCUGAUGCAAGUCGGCUGGUCCCUUGAGGAUCUUGACAAACACCACAGGGUCUUUGGCCUUGUUGCUGAACACUGCAUGCUGAUGGGUCACACGCUGCAGAGACUCACCGUCCACUGAAACCAGCUCAUACCACGCCUGGAGACACACACAAAGACAGGUUAAAGGUUGAUGCAGACGCCAACACUGUGCAGUGACCGGGGCUCCCACUCAGCAUCUACUGCUCUCCUUCAUCCCAGUACAUUCAUUACCAUAUUCUCUCACUCGCUCACACACACUCAGCCUCAGCAGAAGGUUAUGUUGAAAACACAAACACACAAUGCAUUGUUUAAUGCAGGAAGAGUUCUAGAACCCUGAGGAGAGGAACUUCCUGUGAUGUCAUCAGGGCUCACUGAGGAUGCACCUGGCUGACAGCCCCAAUGAAGGGUCACACACAAUCACAAGGCCAGAGGUAUGUGACAUUACACGGUCUCUUCUCGAUUUUCCCCAAACCAGGGCCCUGUUUGAACUGAAAAUACAUCUCCAUCUCCCCUAGCAUUGGUUAACCCAAAACAUUGCUGCCUUCCCUUCCGUGACGCCUUGCUGUCCCCAGUCCACCUGGCCGUGCUGCAGCUCCAGUUUCAACUGUUCUGCCUUAUUAUUAUUCGACCAUGCUGGUCAUUUAUGAACAUCUUGGCCAUGUUCUGUUAUAAAUCUCCACCCGGCACAGCCAGAAGAGGACUGGCCACCCCACAUAGCCUGGUUCCUCUCUAGGUUUCUUCCUAGGUUUUGGCCUUUCUAGAGAGUUUUUCCUAGCCACCGUGCUUCUACACCUGCAUUGCUUGCUGUUUGGGGUUUUAGGCUGGGUUUCUGUACAGCACUUUGAGAUAUCAGCUGAUGUACGAAGGGCUAUAUAAAUACAUUUGAUUUGACACCAGCACCAAAAUACUUCAAUCCAUUUAACUAAAAAGCAGAUUAAAGUGCAAAGUCAUUUUGAAUAUUAGACAAUCACAUUCAUCCUCUUAGGUAAACAUUUAUGGAUGCUCUUUUUGGGCCUUUCUCUCUCACCCUGUCCAUGUCUAGCCAAUAGGCAUCAUCCACAUGUAAGUUUGUUUAACAUUAGUUAGAUGGGCAUUGCUCCUAGUAGGUAGUGGAUCACUGUCCAGACUCCAGGUCAUAUGUCUGGAGACAGCAACACCAAAACUCUAGGACAGGAUAAAUAGUAUAAUCCUGGUGCUGUUGACUACACAGUAACCUUACUCAGCUAACAGCACAGAUGAAAAAGAGAGAGACAGACACCCACACACAGAGAAAGAGAGAGACACAGAGAGAGAAACACACACACACACACAGAAAGAAACAGACACACACACCUGGUGGCUAGCUAAAAGAUAUGGGUGUCUUCAGACAGGAACAGGGGGACAGGAAAGCCUGCUAUAGUUGUCUAUUUGGUCUCAGUGUGUGGGAGACAGCCAGCAGAGAGACACCAGACAGGGACUAUUUGGUCUCAGUGUGUGGGAGACAGCCAGCAGACACACCAGAUAAGGACCAGCUAUCAGGCCAUGCCAGAGAGGUGUGAGGCUGAGUUAAAAAACAGGAGAGGGGGGGGUGUCAGAGUAAAGCAACCAACCAUGUCUCUCGGUUUCCCUCUCUCUUCCAACCAUGUCUCUCUGUUUCCCUCUCUCUUCCAACCAUGUUUCUCUGUUUCCCUCUCUCCCAACCAUGUCUCUCUGUUUCCCUCUCUCCCAACCAUGUCUCUCUGUUUCCCUCUCUCCCAACCAUGUCUCUCUGUUUCCCUCUCUCUCCCAACCAUGUCUCUCUGUUUCCCGCUCUCUCCCAACCAUGUCUCUCUCCCAACCAUGUCUCUCUGUUUCCCGCUCUCUCCCAACCAUGUCUCAGUUUCCCUCCCUC